AGAAGGAGGCGGCCGGGACG
RNAcentral lists this unclassified non-coding RNA (20 nucleotides) under Mus musculus (house mouse). RNAcentral describes it as "oocyte_clustered_small_RNA10305". Lineage: Eukaryota; Metazoa; Chordata; Mammalia; Rodentia; Muridae. The record is from RNAcentral.